RNAcentral lists this ribosomal RNA (501 nucleotides) under uncultured bacterium. RNAcentral's name for it is "partial 16S ribosomal RNA". It matches the Rfam family "Bacterial small subunit ribosomal RNA", at positions 30 to 523 of the family's 1533-position model. The record is from RNAcentral.
AUUGAACGCUGGCGGCAGGCUUAACACAUGCAAGUCGAGCGGAGAGAGGUAGCUUGCUACUGAUCUUAGCGGCGGACGGGUGAGUAAUGCUUAGGAAUCUGCCUAUUAGUGGGGGACAACAUUUCGAAAGGAAUGCUAAUACCGCAUACGUCCUACGGGAGAAAGCAGGGGAUCUUCGGACCUUGCGAUAAUAGAUGAGCCUAAGUCGGAUUAGCUAGAUGGUGGGGUAAAGGCCUACCAAGGCGACGAUCUGUAGCGGGUCGGAGAGGAUGAUCCGCCACACUGGGACUGCGACACGGCCCAGACUCCUACGGGAGGCAGCAGUGGGGAAUAUUGGACAAUGGGCGGAAGCCUGAUCCAGCCAUGCCGCGUGUGUGAAGAAGGCCUUAUGGUUGUAAAGCACUUUAAGCGAGGAGGAGGCUACUUUAGUUAAUACCUAGAGAUAGUGGACGUUACUCGCAGAAUAAGCACCGGCUAACUCUGUGCCAGCCGCCGCCGUAA